Molecule: unclassified non-coding RNA, 219 nt
Filed under: uncultured fungus
Lineage: Eukaryota; Fungi
Description: sequence contains ITS1, 5.8S rRNA gene
Rfam family: 5.8S ribosomal RNA (bases 171-219)
Source: RNAcentral
UUUCCGUAGGUGAACCUGCGGAAGGAUCAUUAUCAAACAGCGGCCUUCGGGCCUUGCUGCACCCUUGUCUUUUGCGUACCGUAUGUUUCCUCGGCGGGCUUGCCUGCCGGUUGGACAUUAUCAAACCUUUUUGUAGUUGCAAUCAGCGUCUGAAAAAACUUAAUAGUUACAACUUUCAACAACGGAUCUCUUGGUUCUGGCAUCGAUGAAGAACGCAGC